This 760-nucleotide ribosomal RNA is filed under the name uncultured Stenotrophomonas sp. Its description in RNAcentral is "bacterial SSU rRNA". It matches the Rfam family "Bacterial small subunit ribosomal RNA", at positions 28 to 776 of the family's 1533-position model. The record is from RNAcentral. Lineage: Bacteria; Pseudomonadati; Pseudomonadota; Gammaproteobacteria; Lysobacterales; Lysobacteraceae.
AGUGAACGCUGGCGGUAGGCCUAACACAUGCAAGUCGAACGGCAGCACAGAGGAGCUUGCUCCUUUGGGUGACGAGUGGCGGACGGGUGAGGAAUACAUCGGAAUCUACUCUGUCGUGGGGGAUAACGUAGGGAAACUUACGCUAAUACCGCAUACGACCUACGGGUGAAAGCAGGGGAUCUUCGGACCUUGCGCGAUUGAAUGAGCCGAUGUCGGAUUAGCUAGUUGGCGGGGUAAAGGCCCACCAAGGCGACGAUCCGUAGCUGAUCUGAGAGGAUGAUCAGCCACACUGGAACUGAGACACGGUCCAGACUCCUACGGGAGGCAGCAGUGGGGAAUAUUGGACAAUGGGCGCAAGCCUGAUCCAGCCAUACCGCGUGGGUGAAGAAGGCCUUCGGGUUGUAAAGCCCUUUUGUUGGGAAAGAAAUCCAGCCGGCUAAUACCUGGUUGGGAUGACGGUACCCAAAGAAUAAGCACCGGCUAACUUCGUGCCAGCAGCCGCGGUAAUACGAAGGGUGCAAGCGUUACUCGGAAUUACUGGGCGUAAAGCGUGCGUAGGUGGUUAUUUAAGUCCGUUGUGAAAGCCCUGGGCUCAACCUGGGAACUGCAGUGGAUACUGGAUGACUAGAAUGUGGUAGAGGGUAGCGGAAUUCCUGGUGUAGCAGUGAAAUGCGUAGAGAUCAGGAGGAACAUCCAUGGCGAAGGCAGCUACCUGGACCAACAUUGACACUGAGGCACGAAAGCGUGGGGAGCAAACAGG